CCUACGGGAGGCAGCAGUAGGGAAUUUUCCACAAUGGACGAAAGUCUGAUGGAGCAACGCCGCGUGCAGGAUGAAGGCCUUAGGGUUGUAAACUGCUUUUAUCUGUGACGCGGUAGCAGAUGAAUAAGGACCUGCUAACUACGUGCCAGCAGCCGCGGUCAUACGUAGGGUCCAAGCGUUAUCCGGAAUUACUGGGCGUAAAGAGUGCGUAGGUGGUAAAUUAAGCGAAUAGUGAAAUGACGAGGCUCAACCUCGUGUCCAUUAUUUGAACUGGUUUACUAGAGAAUGAGAGAGGUAGAUGGAAUUCCCUGUGUAGGAGUGAAAUCCGUAGAUAUAGGGAGGAACACCGAUGGCGUAGGCAGUCUACUGGCUCAUUCUGACACUAAGGCACGAAAGCGUGGGGAGCAAACGGGAUUAGAUACCCUUGUAGUC
Molecule: ribosomal RNA, 432 nt
Filed under: uncultured bacterium
Lineage: Bacteria
Description: partial 16S ribosomal RNA
Rfam family: Bacterial small subunit ribosomal RNA
Source: RNAcentral